UGAGAAGGGAAUAUCUGCCAGCC
RNAcentral lists this non-coding RNA (23 nucleotides) under Mus musculus (house mouse). The record is from RNAcentral. Lineage: Eukaryota; Metazoa; Chordata; Mammalia; Rodentia; Muridae.